Molecule: transfer RNA, 583 nt
Filed under: Mesorhizobium sp.
Lineage: Bacteria; Pseudomonadati; Pseudomonadota; Alphaproteobacteria; Hyphomicrobiales; Phyllobacteriaceae
Description: partial 16S-23S ribosomal RNA intergenic spacer
Rfam family: tRNA (bases 138-211)
Source: RNAcentral
GCGCUCGCGCGCCGUACCGCAGCCCUUUUGGGCUGCUGGCGCUCCGCGAGGGCGCGGCAUAAGCCGCGACGGCCGGUCGGCCUUGCGAGGCUUCGCCUCGAGGUCAACAGCUCGUUACUGGCAGAGCGCGGUCUUUAGGGCUUGUAGCUCAGUUGGUUAGAGCGCGCGCUUGAUAAGCGUGAGGUCGGAGGUUCAAGUCCUCCCAGGCCCACCAUCUCCUUGAUGUCUGCCAUCUUCUUGGUGGUUCUAUCAGGAACACAAUCAGGGGCCGUAGCUCAGCUGGGAGAGCGCCUGCUUUGCAAGCAGGAUGUCGUCGGUUCGAUCCCGUCCGGCUCCACCAUCUUCCCUGGAAGAGGUGUCGAGUAGAGAUGUGGUGAAAAAAGUCAUUCGUAUAAAGGUUUGUGGUGAGCUUCUUGGCUUGCCGCUUGUUCUGUUUGACAUCGUAAAGAGAAGAUUUGUUCGAACUUCAUGGGCUGAAAGGCUUCAUGAUUUGUCGCAAGGGACGCUCAAUCCCUUGCAUAUGAUGGGUUUGCCUAACCGCGCCCUCGAACCGAUCUCGAGAAGCUGGUCUUUUUGUGCCAAU